AUAGUACUCUUGCUUAAUACAAGAGGAACUGGAGGUGCAAACAUUUGGCAUCUGUGAUUGGCUGAGGAGCCAGUGGUGAGAAACUGCCACCUGUGGGAUCAUGAUUGAACCUUUCUAAAACACAAUCCACCCAAAAAA
This 138-nucleotide non-coding RNA is filed under the name Lepisosteus oculatus (spotted gar). Its description in RNAcentral is "Eukaryotic large subunit ribosomal RNA". It matches the Rfam family "Eukaryotic large subunit ribosomal RNA", at positions 3016 to 3153 of the family's 3401-position model. Lineage: Eukaryota; Metazoa; Chordata; Actinopteri; Semionotiformes; Lepisosteidae. The record is from Rfam by way of RNAcentral.